AUGCCCGCUUUGUCAGCACAUGUACUAAAGGUAGAACAAUACAGAGAUUAGCCUAGGCCCUGUGCAAGGAUGACACUCAAAUUCGCGAAGUGUUUCAUAUUUAU
Molecule: small nuclear RNA, 104 nt
Organism: Pongo abelii (Sumatran orangutan)
Lineage: Eukaryota; Metazoa; Chordata; Mammalia; Primates; Hominidae
Source: Ensembl